RNAcentral lists this transfer RNA (69 nucleotides) under Ictidomys tridecemlineatus (thirteen-lined ground squirrel). RNAcentral's name for it is "Spermophilus tridecemlineatus (thirteen-lined ground squirrel) tRNA". It matches the Rfam family "tRNA". From Rfam's summary of the family: Transfer RNA (tRNA) molecules are approximately 80 nucleotides in length. Their secondary structure includes four short double-helical elements and three loops (D, anti-codon, and T loops). The record is from Rfam by way of RNAcentral. Lineage: Eukaryota; Metazoa; Chordata; Mammalia; Rodentia; Sciuridae.
UGUUAUGGCUCAGUGGUAGAGCGCUUGCCUAAUAAGUGUGAGGCACUGGGUUCGAUCUCAGCAUUACAG